ACGAGUUGAGGAUGUGAUGAUCCUGGACCAGUCACUAUUUUUCGGGAUGGCUGAUAUUUAUGAUAGGCACAGGGAUAUGCGUCUCGACGUUGAUAACAUGUCGUAUGAGGAAUUGUUGGCUUUGGAAGAGCGUAUUGGGAAUGUCAACACAGGACUAAGUGAAGAGACAAUAGUUGCUCGACUGAAACAAAAGAAGCGGGUGAAUGCUGUUGACUCACAGGUGGAGGAAGAACCAUGCUGUGUUUGUCAGGAGGAAUACGUUGAAGGAGAAGACAUUGGAACGCUGGAAUGCGGGCAUGACUUCCACACAGCUUGUAUUAAGCAGUGGCUGAUGCAAAAGAAUCUGUGCCCCAUAUGCAAAACAACUGGUUUGGCAAGCCGAGAAUGAGUCCUUGGUGGUUGCUGUUGCUUAAAAAAGG
This 419-nucleotide unclassified non-coding RNA is filed under the name Hevea brasiliensis (rubber tree). Lineage: Eukaryota; Viridiplantae; Streptophyta; Magnoliopsida; Malpighiales; Euphorbiaceae. The record is from RNAcentral.